UGCCCUAGCGGCGAACGGGUGAGUAACACGUGGGCAACCUGCCCCUAGCACUGGGAUAACUCCGGGAAACCGGGGCUAAUACCGGAUAUGACCUCGGAGGGCAUCCUCCCUGGUGCAAAGGAUUCUGGCUAGGGAUGGGCCCGCGGCCUAUCAGCUUGUUGGUGGGGUAAUGGCCUACCAAGGCGACGACGGGUAGCCGGCCUGAGAGGGCGACCGGCCACACUGGGACUGAGACACGGCCCAG
This 244-nucleotide ribosomal RNA is filed under the name uncultured bacterium. RNAcentral describes it as "partial 16S ribosomal RNA". It matches the Rfam family "Bacterial small subunit ribosomal RNA", at positions 88 to 334 of the family's 1533-position model. The record is from RNAcentral.